This 77-nucleotide transfer RNA is filed under the name Candidatus Parcubacteria bacterium. RNAcentral's name for it is "tRNA-Pro". It matches the Rfam family "tRNA". Rfam says of the family: Transfer RNA (tRNA) molecules are approximately 80 nucleotides in length. Lineage: Bacteria; Candidatus Parcubacteria. The record is from RNAcentral.
CGGGAUGUAGCGCAAUUGGUUAGCGCACCAGCAUGGGGUGCUGGAGGCUGCGGGUUCGAGUCCCGCCAUCCCGACCA